ACACUCCUACGGGAGGCAGCAGUGGGGAAUUUUGGACAAUGGGCGAAAGCCUGAUCCAGCAAUGCCGCGUGAGUGAAGAAGGCCUUCUGGUUGUAAAGCUCUUUUGUCAGGGAAGAAACGGUGAGAGCUAAUAUCUUUUGCUAAUGACGGUACCUGAAGAAUAAGCACCGGCUAACUACGUGCCAGCAGCCGCGGUAAUACGUAGGGUGCAAGCGUUAAUCGGAAUUACUGGGCGUAAAGCGUGCGCAGGCGGUUUUGUAAGUCUGAUGUGAAAUCCCCGGGCUCAACCUGGGAAUUGCAUUGGAGACUGCAAGGCUAGAAUCUGGCAGAGGGGGGUAGAAUUCCACGUGUAGCAGUGAAAUGCGUAGAUAUGUGGAGGAACACCGAUGGCGAAGGCAGCCCCCUGGGUCAAGAUUGACGCUCAUGCACGAAAGCGUGGGGAGCAAACAGGAUUAGAAACCCUGGUAGUCCCAUGA
RNAcentral lists this ribosomal RNA (476 nucleotides) under uncultured organism. RNAcentral's name for it is "partial 16S ribosomal RNA". It matches the Rfam family "Bacterial small subunit ribosomal RNA", at positions 333 to 800 of the family's 1533-position model. The record is from RNAcentral.